Molecule: long non-coding RNA, 3134 nt
Organism: Equus caballus (horse)
Lineage: Eukaryota; Metazoa; Chordata; Mammalia; Perissodactyla; Equidae
Source: Ensembl
GUGGAGGGCACAGCUGGCUGAAGUGUUCCUACAGUGACAGCUUGCCCUCAGCCAGGUCGGCCAGAUUAAUUCAGCGAAGCUAGAAAACCUUCAAGGGCUGGUCAAAUUCUGGAAGUGGGUGCAUGAGUCACCAUCUUAGAGUGGUCAGAGCCGGCGCCCGAGAGCAGCCGUUCUAGAGGGCACCCAGGCGGGUCUUCAGGAGCAAGGCUGGUCCAUAUUCCAACUAGUAGCUGGAGUUUUUGCAAAAACCCUCUCUCCACUCUCCAGGAACUUUUUCUCCCUGGUGUUAUUUUUUUUUUAAUAUAUGUUAUUUUACUUCAUAGGAAUUUGUUUUCCCACCACUGUCAAUUGAAAUCACCUUAAAAGGUGAUUAUCCACUUAUUCCUGAAAUUUCCCCGUCUCCCUCAGCCAACAAAAGCAUAGUCUCAAAAAAAAAAUCAAGUUCAAUAUGUUUUGCCAAAUUAAAUUUUAUGUGGUGGAUCCAUUUUUGUGUCAAAAUAAUCCUUUAGAUUUGUGAUGACAGGCUUAUGUUGGUUUUUUUAACCAUGUCUAUGUAUGAGAGCGAUAUAUUUUUGAGAACUUUAAUUUUGAAAGCCAUAAUUUUUCUUAUCCAGUUUAAGCGUGGGAAGAAGACUACAAAUAUGAGUGGGUCUUUGACUUUUGGCAAACUUCUCCAUUCGUUUUCAGAAGCACAACCAGUAUAUCAACAUCAACACAGCCCAGGGCCCCGCGCCCCAGUCCUCAGAGCACAGUGAAGCAUUCUUGAUUUGAUGGCUUGGGGGUACGUUGGCGAAGACAGAUUCAUUUCUGGUCUCUGAAAAGAACGUCUGCUCCAUAAGCUAUGCCAAAUCUUGACUGAUGCUUUGUCAUCUUAGCCGGUGGGGAAAUCCUGAACGUGAGCGGCACAAGUGAGAGGCAGGGGUUUAUGCCGGGAAAGUCAUUGAUUUUGGUGACUGCCAUUUUUACAGAAUGCCUUUCUCGAAUUAGGAGAGAACAAAAAUUGUCUAAAUCAGCUUGGUACCCUGUGUAUUCAGCUGCCUUUCGUCUUCCACCUCACCUUUCCCUUGCUUUAAUUCAUACGGCAUGCCAAAAGCUAGACUAAACUCCAUCUCAUCUUGCAUUGAGAUGGGGCCCCAUUAAGAUAGUUUUGUCAAGUCGAAGGGGGAAACUGGUCAUGGAGAGAGGGUACCCCAAGCUGCCCUCUGAUCAUGCCGUGACAAUGCCAGUUUCCAUUUCUCCGUCUUCUGACUACUUCAGGGUCUUGGAGCAACGUCUGUCGUUGCCUGAGCUUCUUAAGAACAAGGUUCUUGCUCUUGGGGUCCCCCGCCUCCUCAGUCUCAGUGCAGGGAUGUGUGCUGCCCGACGGCUCUCUGCUGGCUCGUGGCACCCUGUCCAUCAGGCAUGAGGUUACUCCCCAGGUGCUCACCGUGGCUGCGCUGGCCACUGCCUCUCUGCUCCACCCCGCCCUCUCCAGCCAAAGACCAUUCCAGUCCAUUCUAAAGCCUUUUCCCUCAUGGACAAGCCCAGAGGAUGCCACAGGAUGGAGCCAAAUGUGCAAUAGAAUUAACGCCCUCAGGACACCCCUGUGCUUCUGCACUCUGGUCUCUCCACACGGCCCGAUCCCAGAAGGCUGGUAAAUGCCCCUGCUCCCUGGGGGGCAUUUCUCCCUAGUGAGACCAAAUCCUGCGCCAUUUAGUCAAGAUCAUCUAAGUAACCUCACCCGAGGUGUCCAAAGAGGGCCUUGCUCUCUGCUGGCCGGAAGUGCUUGGUGCCAGAAAACGUUUCCCCGAACCCUAGUUUCUGGCUUCCCCUCUAGCUGGGCUUGCCCCAGACACACACGCAGUGAGGGCAACCACUUCACCUCUGGCAGGAGAGCUCGGCGGGCCAUGACGUUUGUGACAUCUGGACAGCACAAUGCAGAGUCGCCUGCUCUGGUCCCCCAACCGCACCCCCAGGUUCUUGCCAACGCUGCACGCCAAACCAAGGUUGUUGAUUGACCCCCACGCUCAGCUGCUUGGUUUUUUAAUUGUGUGCUCUGCAGCUGAAUACCUACGUGUAUGAGUUCACUCUGCAUAUAUAUAUAUUUGAAUAUAUGUAUAACUUGAACCGCAUCAUCACGUGCGUCACUUCUCUCAUCCAUGCUCGCCAUGUCCCCCGUGCUGUGAAGCGGGUCGCCUUGGGUGAUCUGGAGUGGCGCUGUGUGGCACCGCCCUCGGGAGCUGGGGGACGGGAUGGGACUGCCUUGUUUGUCUUGCCGUAGGUGCUGUGGCCCUGGCUUCAGCCGGUCUCUUAAACAGGAGUCUUUAUAGUCAGACCUCCGGUCCUCUGCUGUCCUUGCUGUCGGCCGUGCUGCACGAGAAGGUGGCUGCUUCCGCCCUCUUUCCUACACUGUAAUUAUUGUUUUACAAUUGAGUGCCUUAAUAAUAGUUUACAAAUACUGUGUAUUUAUGGGAAACUGUUAAGCUCUCACCUUCUGUGAUUGGAUACUUUGCCUUGUCGGUGGUGGUUGGCGGUAGGGCUGGCGCUUGUCCUGCCCCAUACUUGACUCAUCUGCUGUGCGGCCUCACGCGUGUGCCCACAACCGCCCCAGGAGCAUCGCUCUCGACAGCGCUGGGAGCUCCUGCGGGCGAGGCGGGCGCUGGCUCCCUCUGCGUCCUGGGGUAGUGAGGAAAGAGCGGAACUGGGUUGGCUAGCCAGCUGGGGGGUGGCGCAGCCCAGCCCCUCACCCGUUCCCCCAUCACACAAUCAUACUCUUGUUUAAUAGACUUUUUAUUACCACGUCGACCACCCUAUUUUCCUCUCUGUUAGUGUCCUGAGCUCUUUGCAACAAAAUGCAGGUACAGACCCCCCCCCCCCAGCCCCGCACCAAAAUCAGGAGCACCCCGGGAUGGGCUGCCCUUUGGUUUUUAGGAGUUGCCAGUGGGUUCCCAGUGUGUUGCAUUACAUCCAUGGGGGUUUUUUUUAUUCUAUUGGUUUUCUUCUUGUUUUUUUUUUUAUAUUAUAUAUUUAAAAGGCAGUAUCUUUUGUACUGUGAAUUUGCAGUAGAAGAUGCAUAAUGCACUUUUUUUUUUUUUACUUCUGUUGGUGUGUACUGUAUAGUCUGUGUGCUUCUUGUGAUGGAAAUAAACUUUUUG